UAGUCAUAUGCUUGUCUUAAAGAUUAAGCCAUGCAUGUCUAAGUAUAAACAUUUGUACUGUGAAACUGCGAAUGGCUCAUUAAAUCAGUUAUAAUUUAUUUGAUGGUAAAAUACUACUUGGAUAACCGUGGUAAAUCUAGAGCUAAUACAUGCAAAAAAUCCUAACUGGUUAUAACGGAAAGGAUGUAUUUAUUAGAUAUAAAACCAAAAAGGAGAAUAGAGGUGAAACUUUAUUUUUCGAAUAUAAAUGGUGAUUCAUAAUAACUUAAUGAAAACGAAUCGUAUGGUUGCAAAAUACUGACGAUAGUUCAUUCAAAUUUCUGCCCUAUCAACUUUCGAUGGUAGUAUAGAGGACUACCAUGGUGGUAACGGGUAACGGAGAAUCAGGGUUCGAUUCCGGAGAAGGAGCCUGAGAAACGGCUACUACUUCUAAGGAAGGCAGCAGGCGCGCAAAUUACCCAAUCCCAACAUGGGGAGGUAGUGACAAAAAAUAACAAUAUUGGGUUUAUAAAAUAAUCUAAUAAUUGGAAUGAGUACAAUCUAAACCCCUUAACAAGUAACAAUU
This 565-nucleotide ribosomal RNA is filed under the name uncultured eukaryote. RNAcentral describes it as "bacterial SSU rRNA". It matches the Rfam family "Eukaryotic small subunit ribosomal RNA", at positions 21 to 549 of the family's 1831-position model. The record is from RNAcentral.